ACCAUUCCGGCUCUAGGUGCUCAUUCACCACACUGUUCUGGGUGCUAUAACACCCAUUCUGGCUUUACUCCAGCAAUUUGCUGAGGGUCUGCCUGAGGUAGCAACGGAAGAGAUGGAAAAGAGAGGUCGAACUGAAAGCCCACUGGUGAGACUUGGCAAUUGAUUCAAUGAGAGAAGGUGGACUGCAGACCAAUGGCCCGCUUUCUGGCUUAGGUGGCAGAGUGGCUGAUGAUGCCACAUUUGAAGGUACAAUCCUUGGAUUUACCCUCCGACCAUACAGAAUGAGCUACCGGGAAGUCAAGUACUUCUCCUUUCCUGGGGAACUUCUGAUGAGGAUGUUACAGAUGCUGGUCUUACCACUUAUCAUCUCCAGUCUUGUCACAGGAAUGGCGGCGCUAGAUAGUAAGGCAUCGGGGAAGAUGGGAAUGCGAGCUGUAGUCUAUUAUAUGACUACCACCAUCAUUGCUGUGGUGAUUGGCAUAAUCAUUGUCAUCAUCAUCCAUCCUGGGAAGGGCACAAAGGAAAACAUGCACAGAGAAG
This 540-nucleotide small RNA is filed under the name Pan troglodytes (chimpanzee). RNAcentral's name for it is "processed transcript". The record is from RNAcentral. Lineage: Eukaryota; Metazoa; Chordata; Mammalia; Primates; Hominidae.